Molecule: ribosomal RNA, 253 nt
Filed under: uncultured bacterium
Lineage: Bacteria
Description: partial 16S ribosomal RNA
Rfam family: Bacterial small subunit ribosomal RNA
Source: RNAcentral
UACAGAGGGUGCGAGCGUUGUCCGGAAUUACUGGGCGUAAAGGGCGCGUAGGCGGCCCGAUAAGUCGGGGGUGAAAGUCAGCGGCUCAACCGCUGGACUGCCUUCGAGACUGUUAGGCUUGAGCAUGGUAGAGGCUGGCGGAAUUCCCGGUGUAGCGGUGGAAUGCGUAGAGAUCGGGAAGAACAUCGGUGGCGAAGGCGGCCAGCUGGGCCAUUGCUGACGCUGAGGCGCGAAAGCUAGGGGAGCGAACAGG